This 253-nucleotide ribosomal RNA is filed under the name uncultured bacterium. RNAcentral describes it as "partial 16S ribosomal RNA". It matches the Rfam family "Bacterial small subunit ribosomal RNA", at positions 524 to 776 of the family's 1533-position model. The record is from RNAcentral.
UACGUAGGGUGCAAGCGUUGUCCGGAAUUAUUGGGCGUAAAGAGCUCGUAGGCGGUUCGUCGCGUCGGCUGUGAAAUCCCGGAGCUCAACUCCGGGUCUGCAGUCGAUACGGGCGGACUCGAGUUCGGCAGGGGAGACUGGAACUCCUGGUGUAGCGGUGAAAUGCGCAGAUAUCAGGAGGAACACCGGUGGCGAAGGCGGGUCUCUGGGCCGAUACUGACGCUGAGACGCGAAAGCGUGGGGAGCAAACAGG